GCGAGCGUGGCGGAAUUGGCAGACGCACUGGAUUUAGGUUCCAGCGGCUUAACAGCCUUGCCGGUUCGACCCCGGCCGCUCGCACCA
Molecule: transfer RNA, 87 nt
Filed under: Acidobacteriota bacterium
Lineage: Bacteria; Pseudomonadati; Acidobacteriota
Also listed under: 2 other names
Description: Acidobacteria bacterium (activated sludge metagenome) tRNA-Leu
Rfam family: tRNA
About the family: Transfer RNA (tRNA) molecules are approximately 80 nucleotides in length. Their secondary structure includes four short double-helical elements and three loops (D, anti-codon, and T loops). Further hydrogen bonds mediate the characteristic L-shaped molecular structure. tRNAs have two regions of fundamental functional importance: the anti-codon, which is responsible for specific mRNA codon recognition, and the 3' end, to which the tRNAs corresponding amino acid is attached (by aminoacyl-tRNA synthetases). tRNAs cope with the degeneracy of the genetic code in two manners: having more than one tRNA (with a specific anti-codon) for a particular amino acid; and 'wobble' base-pairing, i.e. permitting non-standard base-pairing at the 3rd anti-codon position.
Source: RNAcentral